This 479-nucleotide ribosomal RNA is filed under the name uncultured bacterium. Its description in RNAcentral is "partial 16S ribosomal RNA". It matches the Rfam family "Bacterial small subunit ribosomal RNA", at positions 28 to 507 of the family's 1533-position model. The record is from RNAcentral.
GAUGAACGCUGGCGGCGUGCUUAACACAUGCAAGUCGAGCGAGAAGUUUUGAAAAGAUUCUUCGGAUGAAAUUUAAAAUGGAAAGCGGCGGACGGGUGAGUAACGCGUAGGCAACCUGCCCCAUACAAAGGGAUAGCAUUUGGAAACGAAUAUUAAUACCUUAUGAAACUUAACUAGUGCAUGCUAGGUAGGUCAAAGAUUUAUCGGUAUGGGAUGGGCCUGCGUCUGAUUAGCUAGUUGGUGAGGUAACGGCUCACCAAGGCGACGAUCAGUAGCCGACCUGAGAGGGUGAACGGCCACAUUGGAACUGAGACACGGUCCAAACUCCUACGGGAGGCAGCAGUGGGGAAUAUUGCACAAUGGGGGAAACCCUGAUGCAGCAACGCCGCGUGAACGAUGAAGGCCUUUGGGGCGUAAAGUUCUGUUAUAGGUGAUGAAAACUGACAGUAACCUAGGAGAAAGCCCCGGCUAACUCCGUG